This is a long non-coding RNA of Mustela erminea (ermine), 312 nucleotides long. RefSeq lists it as uncharacterized. The transcript has 5 exons. NCBI's taxonomy places the organism in Eukaryota, Metazoa, Chordata, Mammalia, Carnivora, Mustelidae. The record is from RefSeq and is a predicted model, not a curated record.
AGAGCACUCAGCACAUUGCCUUGUAUAAAGAAGGCUACACACAUGCUCAGGAGAGAUCAAAAUUGGCACACUUAAAGGUGAAAAGAAAUGGCUUUAAAUGGUGACUUCAAUCCAACGAAAGAAAUAAAGAGCACUUCUAUAGUUUUGUAUGUUGAGCCCUGGUAUACAUGAAAUGAAGAGGUGAACCAUAGAUUUAUCAUAUGACCUGACCUGUCAAUUCCAUUUGCUGCCAACCAACCAGAGUUCCUGCCUGCAAGUAUCCAGUGAGCAUAAUUCCUACCCAACUUAAAGUCUUCUGUAUUAUAUCUUUUU